RNAcentral lists this ribosomal RNA (253 nucleotides) under uncultured bacterium. Its description in RNAcentral is "partial 16S ribosomal RNA". It matches the Rfam family "Bacterial small subunit ribosomal RNA", at positions 524 to 776 of the family's 1533-position model. The record is from RNAcentral.
UACGAAGGGUGCAAACGUUCUUCGGAAUCACUGGGCGUACAGGGUGCGUAGACGGUAUGUCAAGUUUGUUGUUAAAGGCUCUGGCCUAACCGGAGUAUUGCGAUGAAAACUGGCAUGCUAGAGGGUGAGAGAGAGAAGUGGAAUUCCUGGAGUAGCGGUAAAAUGCGUGGAUCUGAGGAGGAACACCAAUGGCGAAGGCAGCUUCUUGGCUCAUUCCUGACGUUGAGGCACGAAAGCGUGGGGAGCAAACAGG